RNAcentral lists this long non-coding RNA (939 nucleotides) under Vulpes vulpes (red fox). RNAcentral describes it as "lncRNA (ENSVVUG00000029497.1)". The record is from RNAcentral. Lineage: Eukaryota; Metazoa; Chordata; Mammalia; Carnivora; Canidae.
CUCAUGUGUUACAGUGAAAUUCCAAGGGGCUUUAUCAGUUAAUUGGAAGGCAAAUACUGACAGUAGCUUUGUGCACAAUACUUAAAAUUUAACUGUAAUAACACCAAAGCAAAAAAAAAAAUGUUUGUUGAAAUUGAGUUCAUAGUGAAAUGUGACUAUGACUCAUUCCUGAUGGACCAUAAGGAAAAAUGUCACAUGGAGGAAAACAGAAUAACUGAAAUUGUCCCCUAGAGGCUUCCCGGUAAAAGUCCAUUGACCCCUGAGAUGGCUCGACCUUGGUAGGAAAAUGAUAUUUUGAAGUAAAUAGCUGUUGACCUCUCUGAAUUCUCUUCUGUGAAAGUCUGCCCGUUAGCUCUGCUCUUAGUGUCCAGGGAUUUGUUUUGUAUUAAAGCAUUGAUGGGAUUGGCUAAAAUGAAGGAUAAAUACAGAGAUGUUUGAACAUUGCCUGUCUAUUCUUGAUAUUCAUGGAAUAAUCUUUUUUUUCUCCUAUCAGGGAAGGAUGUCGAGAGAAUUAAUGACCUAUAUUUUGGAGUCUCUCAGAGCUGUGUAAACAAAAAGAAGUGGCAAUAAUUGAAGAGGGCAGAAGGAAAUGGAUUCUGGUACAGAAAUCAACGAACCAAAGACUUCAGCUGGAGCCCAAAUCCACACACACGAUACUGAAGACAAAGUGCCCAUCCCUGAGGAGUUUACAAAAUUAGCAACUUGGAGGUGAAGGUGAGUAUUUGGGGAAACAAAAUCCCUAGAAUAGGCUGACUGUUGUUUUCAGGUAUAGCAUGGUUGAAGUUUUCACGUAUAGCAUGGUUGAAAUGGGGCGCUAGAGCAAUGAAUACAUGGUAUUACUUGGUAUCUCACCACAGCUCCUGGAGCUUUGAUGGAAUUGUGUGUAGAUUAAGGGUAGGAUAUUGAGCAAGGUGUACUUCAUCCAGUUCCAAAGUUUGC